CAGCUGUGGCAAUGCCUGAUCCUUUAACCCACUGCACCUGGCUAGGGCUCAAACAUGCAACUCUGCAGUGACCUGAACCACUGCAGUUGGAUUCUUAACACACUGCUCCACAGCAGGAACUCCAAGUCAAAUUAUUCUGUUUGAAGGGUUGUUGGCAUUAUUUCAUGUUGUUCCAACUUGUACUUUGUAAUAAGAAGGGUGAAGACUCUAAGACAACCAGGAUGAAUGGUGACCAGUUCCUAACGUGAGCCAUUCCCCCCAGGAUAUCCAAAAAUGACAGCACCUCAGCCUGCAGUCUUUGUUCUGGCCUCCAACCAAAUUAACAGUAGCUAUUUGGAAGUGUGUUCUAUGCAAUUGCAAUAGAGGAUGAGCUCGCUGAGGUAUCUGACUUAUACCUACCUGACCCAAGUAGUUUACAAGGAGAUACUUACCCAUCUGUAUUUUAUAACCCCUUUUCCAAACCUGGUUCUCAAUAUCCUGCUUGUCUGGAUCAGGUGGUUUGAGACACAUUUGGGGAACUGAGAGGCUUACUGUUUAAUGGAACAGAUGAUUUGUAUUCCCAGAUAUUUUUGAGGAUAAUGGCUCUCUGUCUGGGCUGUGUAUUAGACUCAUCCAAGAUGCUUUGAAAAAUGCCAAGGCCUGAGUCUCACACUCAGAGAUUCUAAUUUAAUUGAUCUGCAUGGGCAAACAUUUUAAAAGCUCUACUGUGUGCAUAUGGGUUUGAGAACUACCAUUCUAAGAAAAGGUAUAUGUUGAUAAGGUGACACAAUAAGAUAUCUAACUCUGAAUUGCCUGAUUUCAGACUCAAACUCCUAUGCAUUUAUAUAAAAAGAAGAUACAUUUAGUGUUUAAAUAUUUGAGCUUUCAAUGUAUAAAAAUUAAGGUUUUAUGGACUCUCUCAAAGAAGAACUACAGAAUAUGUUUUACAGGGCUUUUAAAAAUUAGCUCAUUUUGAAAUACCCAGGCAAAUUUGAGGAUAGAUGAACAUGGAUUACCACCUUUUGGUAUUAUUUCUAGAUAUUUACAGAGAUAAUUCAGUUUUAGUCAUGUUUAAGGCUUUUAAAAAUCAUACUUUGGGAUAAACAUUGUUUUAAAAUAUUGUUUUAAAAUAUAGAUUUAAAAAAAUUUACUAAUCUUAUUAAUUUUUCUCCUGGUUGAAAUUUCCUUUUCUUUCUCUUUUUGUUUAAUGCCAGGCUGCAACAUUUUGGUGAACUACACAGCAUGUAGGAAAAGAAAAAAAAUUCCUUGCUUUUGCCACAAAAUAACAUUUGGUAAUAGCAGAAACUGUGGCUUUGGCAGGCUUCACUAUGUUUCUGGUAGAACUUGUUCCCAACUUUGGAUAAAGGGAUGCUGAGGACUGGGGCAGAGCAAGAUUGAUGUUGUGGGCAAAUGGAUUCUGAUCUCUCAGGAGAUGGGUAUCAAAACUACCUGUGACACCAUGGUAGCACAAUCUCCAAUUGUAUUACCUUUGGAAUCAGAAGAAAACAAAAGAAGGAAAUGGCCAGGAAUUGUGGUCAUUCCGUUUCUAAUGGAAUGUAUGAUUCCAUUAGACUGAAAAGCUAGGUCAAGGGCCUAUUCAAUAAUAAAAAAUGGCUCCAAGAGCAGCAUUUAAUACCAUCAUGCAGGCCAGCACACAGGUUUAUAUUCGAAAGCCCCCACAGAGGUGACUCUGGUUCUGCAGAGGCAAGACAGUGAUAGAAUUAAGGAAAUGGGCUUAUUUUUAGAAAAGAGUCCCCAAAGUGGCUUGUGAUUGGGGCACAUUGUAAAGGCAUGGCUGUAAGCUCAUUGUGGAGUCCUGGUCUCUUGUGGAAACAGUUAGGGCUUAAAACAAAUCAAUAUAUACAUGAUUUUAUUCUGCAGAUGACACUGUCUUAAUUCGAUUCAGCAGACAUUUAUUGGGCAUUUACUAUGUCCCUAGUGCAGAGUUAGACAAUAGAGAUAAGGGAUGAACUCAUAGACCUUGACCUCAGUCUGCCCACAGCCUGUUAAGGAAGAAAUCUCUAAAUGACAAAUUGCAAUUCAAUGUGUUAGGAGGACUCUGUGUGCAGGGAGCAAGUGUUGGUUGUCUGUUGGGUGUGCGGGAGUGACUGGACAAAGAUAACUUGGUUUGUGGGCCAGAGACACACUCAAAAGAGGAUAAUUUGGAAGUGAAGCUAUUGUAAAGAUGCAAAGAGAAUCUCACUGAAACAAAUGCAAGAGGCAUCAUGAACAUCUUAAAAUCACCAUGAACCUUCAUUCUAUCUCUCUAACUACAUCAUCUCCUCUCUCUUAGUCCAGCUUCUCUUCUCAUCUAUCUACCUAUUUAUAUAGGUCUUUUAACCCAUCUGGUCCAGCCUCUAGUUGCAUCUCCAAGUCCCAUUUUCAGGCACCCAGGAGAGAGAGAGGUGAUUUGUUCAACUGAGGUCAUGUGCCUGCUCUGGCCUGGGUAACUGAGGCCUAAGAGCAGGGUCAUGAGGUGACUACUAUGGGUUUUGGACAAGGUAGAUUUUAUAAAAGCCACUGUAGUGAAGGAGAAAUUGAUGGAGAAGUCACUACCUGGGGUGCCCAUGCCACUGGGUUUUUGGCAUUAGACUAGCACCUAAACCAUGAAGUGACCAGAGAAGAAAUGGUUUAUACUAAGUCAAAUGUAUGUGCACAAACUUAGAAGUUAAUUGUUUUAGUGUCUGGAAGGACCCCAUUCUAGCAAGCUCAGGAUGGGGAAACGUUUUUUCCAUUUGAUGAUGAUAGAAGUCAGUGAUGGUGCAUGCACCACCCUCCUAAUCCCUCCAGAGCAGAAAAAUGGGUUAGAUCUCAAGUAGUUUGAGAAAGUUUAGAGUUCUUGUUUUGUUUAUAACACAGGGUAGCAUAGAGUUCACCAUGCUAUUGUGAAUUCAGUUAGUAUUAACUGAGCUUCUGUCUUGUUCAAAACACUGCAGGGACUAUAGGGUGAGCAAUAUGAAGACCAUUGUAUUUCCUUAGAAGUUGUUAUGAAAACUCCACUUGACCAGAAUAUAGGAAUCGUUUAGAAGAAAAGUUUCGACAAAUGAUUUGGGCAACAGUAGAUGCUCCAAGAAGUAGAAAGGAGGAGAUUGCAAUGAACUUGGGGGCUCUUUGGAAAGUUAGGGAGAGAGAAACACAGUUUCCGGACAGUAUGCAUGAGUGGCCUUUGGUUAAAAGAAAACUCAAAGAUUUUAGGCUGUUGAAUUUGGCAUGCAGUGUAAAAUCUUAUUUAUCCCAUGGAAUCUUCACAAAAUAUAACAUUAAUCAUUAAUGCAUUUAUAAGAAUAAAUUCUUUUGAGGGUCCUUUAAGAGGACAUAAUGGACAGCUCAUAUCUAUACUACCUAAGUAUAGAAAAAAACAUGUGCCCAGUUCUUGAUUUCUUUACAAUGCUUAGGUGAAUUUCAUCAGCCUAGGUGAGUGACUUUGGAUUUUCUGGUUACUUGUCUAUCAAUCUUGUAAGUUAGCAAAAGCAUCAAGACAACACACUGUUGGGUAUAGGACCAUCCUAGGAUCAUCAGAACCCAAAGGCACUGACUACGUGUUUUGAACUAUACACCUUUUUCAUGUUGGGAGCACAAAGUGGAAAAAUACAGAGCUCUUGUCUCCUAGGGACUCACAGUCUGUUGGUGAAAACAGACACAUAAGAAUGUAAAAAUAUGACAGAAAAUGAAUCAAUAUUAUACCAUAAUUGAACUUCUGUAAAGAAAGACUCUUCAACAAACACUGACACAUUCCAAGGAGAGCAGAAAAUCUGAACCGAGAGCACUGAACUCAGAAAGCCCCCUGAUGUGUGAUGAUUAGUGGACAUUUCUGACAGCAUCCCUAUUAGCUCUAUUGAUAACACUUGGGAAAGGUCAAAUUUUGCAAAGACUUUCUGCCCACUAAGAAUAGCAAGGAAUCGAUCAAUUCUGAGCAUAAGAACAAUGUCAGGACCCAGAUAGAAGUGCAGUUGCUAUCACUGGGAAGCCUUCCUUCUUUCAAAUAAAGGCCCUGGAAAAUUCACAUCAAAUCCUCUAGGUAGACCCUUUGACUCACUGAGUGCCUUGGACACCCAGCUUUUUAAUAGCCAAGUCUUUUGCACCUUCAAUUUUAGUUCAAAUCUUGAUCAUUGGGGAGAUUUUACUGACCAGUUAUUAAGUAAGGUAACACCCUUCCCCCAUUGCUGCAUUAACUUCACAUUGUUCAUUUCCAUCUCAGCACUUGGCAUAAUCUGAAAUCAUCUUGAAUAUUGUUAGGUUACCUGUUUACACAUGGAUUCUUCAGUACAUUUCACAUUAUUCAAUGAUACAUUUAUGAACAUAUAUUCUUUUCAGGGUCCUUUAAGAAGAUAUGAUACGGUAGCUCAUAUCUAGAUUCCCUAAGUAUGGAAAAAUGCAUGGAUCCACUUCUCAAGUUGCUUACAAUGCCUAUCUUCUGUCCCUUCCUCAUUCCCUUCUAGGAUAAAAGCAAACACUAUAUGUCUUGAAUACAGAGUAGAGGUUAGUGUAGAUUGUGCCUUUGUGUGAGUUAGAGGAAACUCCUCUUUAAACAGAUGGAUGAGAAAAUGUCACACCAUCUUGGCACAGUUGUACAAGUUCACACCUCCAUGAGUAGAUUUCAAACCCCCACUUUCCUUCUGUGUGUAGUACAAGAACUUCAGAAACACAGAGGACAGCCCUGGUUGUCCAGUACCAUUUGGGAAGUGUUCAUUAAUAUUUGGUGAAUGAAUGAGGCACCCCAGGAUCUACCAAACAGACCAUAUUAUACAGUGAUAUUCUUGUAGGGAAGCCUUUUGAGACCCAACUGGUUUCCUUCACAGCCCGGGAAGGGCCAAUCAGAAGCUCACAGUUGGAGUUACAGCAGCACUUCAAGAGCCCAGUCACCAGUUGAGGGUGACCUCUAUAACCUUCUGAUAGUUCAUAAAUGCACCAACCUCAAGGGCUCUUAUCUAAGUACCACUGUCAGUGUCCUGAAUGCAGCCAGGUUGGGGGGAUUGAAACCUUCUAAUGGAGCACCCCUUUCCAGAGGUCCUAUAAGCCCUGGCAAAGCCAGUAUCCCACCUUUUAAAUAGCAGAGUCAAAAUCUUGCUGAUGACUUUGGCCGAUGCAUGGGAGCCACGCCAAGGGAUGUACCUCAGAUGGAGAUGUGAGGGAACUAAAGAAAAAGAAAAACCCAUGUUGCUUGCUUAAAUAAAAACUUCAAAUAAGAACAUGGCUUUGACAGUUCAUCCCCUGCAGAAUUAACCUUUGUUUCUCGGCAGGCUGCUUCUAAGAAGACACAUCGUGCCUAAAAGGAUACGGGGAAGAAAGCUUACAGAAUGGCUUGUGUGUUUAACCACAAAGGAGGAAAAGCUGAAAUGAAAGCAAAGUUGAAAAGGAGGCUUGUUCCUAACUAACGCAGCCUCUAGACAGGAGUCUUAAGAUGCAAAAGCAAUUACCAUAAACAUGAAUUUGAGUCCCCGUUCACAGAUGCACAAACACCGCUCCUUCAUCUGCUGUUUCUGUAACUUAUUCCCAGCAAGGAUAACAAGAUUCUAGGGGCAGGAAGGCAAUCACAGAGAUCAUAGUCUAGCUUCUUCUAUUCUUUUAGAGCCAACUUGAGACCUCAUCCUGGAAGCCUUCCUAGAUUUGAUAAGUGCUCCUCCUCUGUAUCCCCAUAAAAUAAUAUGAGUUUCUUUAUUUUUGAAUUCAUUACACUGUAGUAUAGUUACCUGUUCAUGUGUCCAAGACAGGGGUGUUUUAUUUGACUUAAGAAAUCUUUAAAGUCAAAUACUUAGCACUUCGCCUGGAAUAAAAUGACAUCUCAGUAAGUUCUUAAUGAAAUAGUCAAUGGGGCAUUCUAUUAACAGUUGAUUAUUGAACUCAUACAUCUGUCGUCCCUUUGCCACACACUAAGGCAGUACACAAGAAGUAAGCACAGUGUAAUCACAAUGGUAGCUAUUGUUUUGUGUGUCUGUUAUGAGUCAGGCACUCUGCUAAUUGCUCUGCAAAUUGUUUUCUCAUUAAUACCUCAAGUCAACAUUAUGACCUUCAUUUCAUAAAUUAGACUGAGACCUGGAGAGACAAACUAACUUUCCCCGAAAGCUGCUCAACAGGCAAGCAGAGAACCAGCAUUUGAAUCAAUCUCAAAAUCCCCUGAUCUUCACUUUACAGUAGGUGGUUUCUCUGACCUUAAAAAACAUGUGAGGAGCUCCCAUCGUGGCUCAGUGCUGAUGAUCCCAACUAGUAGUCAUGAAGACUCAGGUUCAAUCCCUGGCUUCACUCAGUGGGUUAAAGAUCUGGCAUUGCCAUGAGCUGUGGUAUAGCUUGCAGAUGUGGCUCGGAUCCCGCGUUGCUGUGGGGCUGUGGUGUAGGCCAGCAGCUGCAGCUCUAAUUCCACCCCUAGCCUGGGAACUUCCAU
Molecule: long non-coding RNA, 6358 nt
Filed under: Sus scrofa (pig)
Lineage: Eukaryota; Metazoa; Chordata; Mammalia; Artiodactyla; Suidae
Description: lncRNA (ENSSSCG00000060277.1)
Source: RNAcentral